This is a non-coding RNA of Nematostella vectensis (starlet sea anemone), 72 nucleotides long. The record is from Rfam. Lineage: Eukaryota; Metazoa; Cnidaria; Anthozoa; Actiniaria; Edwardsiidae.
GGCGUGAUCGUAUAGUGGUUAGUAGACUGUGUUAUGUCCGCAGUAACCCAGGUUCGAUUCCUGGUCACGGCA